UGUAAAGAGGGAUAGGAGAAUUGGAGGGCAAGUUUGGUGCCAGCAGCCGCGGUAAUACCGACUCCAAGAGUGUGUAUGAGAGAUGCUGCAGUUAAAAAGUCCGUAGUCAUAGAAGGGCAAAGAGAGAUGCGAGGUCUCACAGUGCGAUGAUGGAGGAGCCGAUGGGGAACAUAGUAUACCAGGGCGAGAGAUGAAAUGCCAAGACCCCUGGUGGACUGAGCGAGGCGAAGGCGAUGUUCUUGUAGGCAUUCGGUGAUCAAGGACGAAGGCUGGAGUAUCGAAAGUGAUUAGAUACCGCAGUAGUUCCAGCAGUAAAAGAUGCCGACAUGCUCAUUGGACACAGUGGGCAGGGAGAAAUCUUAGAGUUCGGGCUCUGGGGAUAGUAUGCUCGCAAGGGUGAAAAUUAAAGAAAUUGACGGAGCUACACCACAAGGAGUGGAUUGUGCGGCUUAAUUUGACUCAACGCGAGGAAACUUACCAGGGCCAAGUAUUGUGUAGAAACGAGCAAUACAGGAGUGGUGCAUGGUCGUUGGAAAUUGAUGGGAUGACUUUGACCUUAAAUGGUUGAAUGAGUGAGAUCUUUUGGACAUGUUCCGCACGGAACAGGAAGGAAAAGGCUAUAACAGAUCCGAGAUGCCCUCAGAUGCCCUGGGCUGCACGCGCAAUACAAUAGCAGGUAGAGAGAGAGACAGGAAGGUGCUCAGAUGGACUAUGUGCUGUAAGGCACAUACGAAAGAGGAAUUCCUAGUAAGUGUGUAUCAACAAUGGAUAUUGA
RNAcentral lists this ribosomal RNA (775 nucleotides) under Vittaforma corneae. RNAcentral's name for it is "SSU rRNA". It matches the Rfam family "Microsporidia small subunit ribosomal RNA", at positions 354 to 1167 of the family's 1311-position model. The record is from RNAcentral. Lineage: Eukaryota; Fungi; Microsporidia; Nosematidae.